RNAcentral lists this transfer RNA (68 nucleotides) under Bos taurus (domestic cattle). It matches the Rfam family "tRNA". From Rfam's summary of the family: Transfer RNA (tRNA) molecules are approximately 80 nucleotides in length. Lineage: Eukaryota; Metazoa; Chordata; Mammalia; Artiodactyla; Bovidae. The record is from Rfam by way of RNAcentral. RNAcentral also lists the same sequence under 1 other name.
UCACAGCUCAGUUGGUAAAGAAUCUGCCUGCAAUGCAGGAGACCCUGGUUCGAUUCCUGGGUUGUGAA